Molecule: ribosomal RNA, 254 nt
Filed under: uncultured bacterium
Lineage: Bacteria
Description: partial 16S ribosomal RNA
Rfam family: Bacterial small subunit ribosomal RNA
Source: RNAcentral
UACGUAGGCAGCAAGCGUUGUUCGGAAUUACUGGGCGUAAAGAGUGUGUAGGCGGUGCUCUAAGUUCGGUGUGAAAUCCCCCGGCUUAACCUGGGAACUGCGUCUGAUACUGGGAGGCUUGAGUAUGGGAGAGGGAUGUAGAAUUCCAGGUGUAGCGGUGAAAAUGCGUAGAUAUCUGGAGGAAUACCGGUGGCGAAGGCGGCAUCCUGGACCAUAACUGACGCUGAGGCGCGAAAGCUAGGGGAGCAAACGGG